RNAcentral lists this ribosomal RNA (482 nucleotides) under uncultured bacterium. RNAcentral's name for it is "partial 16S ribosomal RNA". It matches the Rfam family "Bacterial small subunit ribosomal RNA", at positions 30 to 507 of the family's 1533-position model. The record is from RNAcentral.
AUUGAACGCUGGCGGCAUGCUUUACACAUGCAAGUCGAACGGUAACAGCACUUCGGUGGCUGACGAGUGGCGAACGGGUGCGUAAUACAUCGGAACGUGCCUAGUAGUGGGGGAUAACUACUCGAAAGAGUAGCUAAUACCGCAUGAGAUCUAAGGAUGACAGCAGGGGACCUUCGGGCCUUGCGCUACUAGAGCGGCUGAUGGCAGAUUAGGUAGUUGGUGGGAUAAAAGCUUACCAAGCCGACGAUCUGUAGCUGGUCUGAGAGGACGACCAGCCACACUGGGACUGAGACACGGCCCAGACUCCUACGGGAGGCAGCAGUGGGGAAUUUUGGACAAUGGGCGCAAGCCUGAUCCAGCAAUGCCGCGUGCAGGAUGAAGGCCUUCGGGUUGUAAACUGCUUUUGUACGGAACGAAAAGCCCUCUUCUAAUACAGGAGGGUCAUGACGGUACCGUAAGAAUAAGCACCGGCUAACUACGUG